Molecule: ribosomal RNA, 443 nt
Filed under: uncultured bacterium
Lineage: Bacteria
Description: partial 16S ribosomal RNA
Rfam family: Bacterial small subunit ribosomal RNA
Source: RNAcentral
CCUACGGGUGGCAGCAGUGGGGAAUAUUGGGCAAUGGGCGCAAGCCUGACCCAGCAACGCCGCGUGACGGAAGAAGGCUUUCGGGUUGUAAACUUCUUUUCUGAGGGACGAAGAAAGUGACGGUACCUCCGGAAUAAGCCACGGCUAACUACGUGCCAGCAGCCGCGGUAAUACGUAGGUUGCACGCGUUAUACGGAUUGAUUGGGUGUAAGGGGCGUGUAGGCGGGAAAGCAAGUCAGAUGUGAAAACUCCGGGCUCAACCCUGGGCCUGCCUUUGAAACUGUUUUUCUUGAGUGCUGGAGAGGCAAUCGGAAUUCCGUGUGUAGCGGUGAAAUGCGUAGAGAUACGGAGGAAAACCAGUGGCGAAGGCGGAUUGCUGGACAGUAACUGACGCUGAGGCGCGAAAGCGUGGGGAGCAAACAGGAUUAGAUACCCGGGUAGUC